CCUGGCUCAGGACGAACGCUGGCGGCGUGCCUAAUACAUGCAAGUCGAGCGGACCGAAUAGAAGCUUGCUUCUGUUUGGUUAGCGGCGGACGGGUGAGUAACACGUGGGCAACCUGCCCGUAAGACGGGGAUAACUUCGGGAAACCGGAGCUAAUACCCGAUAACCCUGAAGACCGCAUGGUCUUUAGUUGAAAGGCGGCUUCGGCUGUCACUUACGGAUGGGCCCGCGGCGCAUUAGCUAGUUGGUGAGGUAACGGCUCACCAAGGCGACGAUGCGUAGCCGACCUGAGAGGGUGAUGGGCCACACUGGGACUGAGACACGGCCCAGUCUCCUACGGGAGGCAGCAGUAGGGAAUCUUCCGCAAUGGACGAAAGUCUGACGGAGCAACGCCGCGUGAGCGAAGAAGGUCUUCGGAUUGUAAAGCUCUGUUGUUAGGGAAGAACAAGUGCG
This 451-nucleotide ribosomal RNA is filed under the name uncultured Bacillota bacterium. RNAcentral describes it as "bacterial SSU rRNA". It matches the Rfam family "Bacterial small subunit ribosomal RNA", at positions 18 to 457 of the family's 1533-position model. The record is from RNAcentral. Lineage: Bacteria; Bacillati; Bacillota.